Molecule: unclassified non-coding RNA, 250 nt
Filed under: plant metagenome
Description: partial contains small subunit ribosomal RNA, internal transcribed spacer 1, and 5.8S ribosomal RNA
Source: RNAcentral
GUAGGUGAACCUGCGGAAGGAUCAUUAACACAAUACUCUCAUAUCAACAUUGGCGCACUUGUUUGACCCUUAUCGAAGCAGAUGCUGAGUUGGAAAUGGUUGGUUUUAUUACGGCCAAUUCAGCUAAGCUACCGUUUGAGUAGCAGUCCGACUUUAUAAGGUAUUACAGCCUCAACCAUGGCUGGCCCCUUUUUUUUUUAACUACUGAAAUUUGUACUGAUUUGGGCUCGGAUCGAGGGGAGUAAUCCUU